Myotis myotis is the source of this 103-nucleotide small nuclear RNA. The record is from RefSeq and is a predicted model, not a curated record. Lineage: Eukaryota; Metazoa; Chordata; Mammalia; Chiroptera; Vespertilionidae.
GUGCUCGCUUUGGCAGCACAUGUAAUAAAACUGGAAUGAUACAGAGAUUAGUAUGGCCCCUGCACAAGAUGAAAUGCAUAUUUAAAACCAAGAGAGAAAGGAA